Molecule: ribosomal RNA, 253 nt
Filed under: uncultured bacterium
Lineage: Bacteria
Description: partial 16S ribosomal RNA
Rfam family: Bacterial small subunit ribosomal RNA
Source: RNAcentral
UACGUAGGCAGCAAGCGUUGUUCGGAAUUACUGGGCGUAAAGCGUGCGCAGGCGGCUUUGCAAGACAGAUGUGAAAUCCCCGGGCUCAACCUGGGAACUGCAUUUGUGACUGCAUGGCUAGAGUACGGUAGAGGGGGAUGGAAUUCCGCGUGUAGCAGUGAAAUGCGUAGAUAUCGUCAAGAACACCGAUAGUGAAGACAGCUUACUAGGCUGCAACUGACGCUGAGGCACGAAAGUGUGGGGAUCAAACAGG